RNA transcript from Malaclemys terrapin pileata, 2864 nucleotides. It is a transcript of the gene named motile sperm domain containing 2, with no coding region annotated. Lineage: Eukaryota; Metazoa; Chordata; Testudines; Emydidae. The record is from RefSeq and is a predicted model, not a curated record. The transcript is spliced from 16 exons.
GACGGCGGCGGGCUGAUUGACUUGUUCGGGUAGUUCCGGGAAGCGCGCGACGUUAGUCGGUGCUCCCUUGUCUCUCCCCCCCCCCCGCUCUCUUCGUCACGCGCUCCCCUCCCCUUCCGCCCUGCUGCCUUGUCACCAGCUGCUGCGGGGACCGGGGAACCUCCGCGGGACCAUGGCCGGCCAGCAGGACAAGGCUGCCUUAAUUAGCGAAACCAGACGGCGCUUUGAGACUGAAUAUGUGCCAGAUAAAUCAGAUAAAUAUGAUUCCAGAGAUGUGGAAAGAUUGCAGCAAGAUGAUGAUUGGAUUGAAAAUUAUUUAAUUUGGCGUCAUGAUGUUGUGGAUGAUACACUGAAGAUGAUUGAUGAAAGCUUUCAGUGGAGGAAAGAAUACAUGGUCAACGAUUUGUCUGAAGCUGCCCUUCCAAAAUGGUUAUUUGAAAAUGGCGCUCUUUACCUGCAUGGAUAUGAUAAAGAGGGCUACAAGUUAUUCUGGUUCAGGGUGAAGUUUCAUACAAAAGAUCCUAAACUGCAGUUUGAAAAAAAGAAGUUUGUAGCCUUUUGGUUAGAGCAUUAUGCCAGAAGAGAGCAUGGGAAGCCUUUAACAGUGGUGUUUGACAUGGCUGAAACUGGAGUCAGUCACAUAGACUUGGACUUCAUUCGGUUCAUCAUCAACUGUUUUAAAAUUUAUUAUCCUAAUUACCUCUCAAAGAUAGUGAUCUUUGAAAUGCCAUGGAUAAUGAAUGCUGCUUUUAAAAUUGUGAAGGGCUGGCUUGGUCCAGAUGCGAUAAGCAUGUUGAAGUUUGCAAACAAGAAUGAAGUGCAGGAAUACAUCAGUGCAGAGUAUCUGCCUGCCUACAUGGGUGGAAUUGAUACUUUUAAGUACAGUUACCCUCCAUUGGUUGAUGAUGAUUUUCAAACUCCAUUAUGUGAAAAUGGACCUAUUACUACUGAAGAUGAAACUGAAAGUAAAGAGGAGGCGGAAGCAGACAGCAAGGAGGCUGGAGAAUCCAGUGAAGAGCAAAUUCUCAAUGUGAAAAAGGUAUGUUCUGUAGAACAAAUUUCCAAACCAGACGAGAAUGACAAAACAGAUUCCAAAACAAAAAAUGCAAAGAAAGCGUUAACCAUUUUUAAAGGACCGUUAUUACAUAUAAGUCCGGCAGAAGAGCUGUUUUUUGGAUCCAAAGAAAUUGGAGAGAAAAAAUGCUUGAUAGUUCUCACAAAUGUGACUAAAAAUGUAGUGGCCUUUAAGGUGAGAACAACUGCUCCUGACAAGUAUAGAGUUAAACCAAGUAAUAGUAGCUGUGAACCUGGUACAUCAAUAGACAUAGUUGUAUCCCUCCAUGGUGGUUUUGCCGCUUCCCUGCAGGACCGUUUCCUGAUAAUGGCAGCAGAAAUGGACCAGGCUUCUGGAGCAGGCGUACCAGAAUUAGCUCAGUUUUGGAAAGAAGUCCCUAGAAACAAAGUGAUGGAACAUAGGUUAAGAUGUCAUGUUGUAGAAAGUAGCAAGCCUUCUACUCUGACAUUAAAAGAGAAUUCAUUUAAUAUUCCUACAAAAACCAAUGAAGAUUUACACUUACAGGUUCCUGACAUCUCCAGAUGGGAACCAGUAAUGGGAGGGAGAGGGGUGCACAGCCACAGCUAAGAACUUGAAAGAACGAGCACAGAGCUCAAAGUGGGUCUGCAUAUUGGAAGCAGUUCCGGUGGUCCUGUGAGGUAUGGUACAGACAGUCCAAAUGGAAAAAAAAAUGUCCAGAUGAGAAAUUGACAUGUUUUCGAGAAGGUGCUUUGAAACAUUCCCUUCCCUGCAAGUUCACAGAGCAUGGAUACUUUGUACCAUUGAGUGGUUCAGAAACAUCAGGGCUACCAUGAAGCCACUUUCUUAGAGAGAAGAUCCCAGUUUUCAACCCAUUAAAGCAGCUGGAUACAUAGUUAUAAACUCAUCUCCUGUAGUAGGUUCUUUUCCUCUGAGACUAAGAUUUUAAAGUGCUAGACAGCAACUGAGGGAGCAAUAACUUAUCAAAAGGGGAAAACAUGGCCAGGCAGAGCCCAAUACUCCCAGGAUUCAAAGUCCAGCUGGCAAAUUGCCUGCUAUAUAGUAAAAGAGAGAAUUCAUCAUUUUACUUUGUCUUAACCCCAAACACAGCUUUAGGAGUGUACUUAGUGAUUAUUGCCAAAGGUGAUCAAAACAGGAGUAACAAAGAGUCUGGUGGCACCUUAAAGACUAACAGAUUUAUUUGGGCAUAAGCUUUCGUGAGUAAAAACCUCACUUCUUCGGAUGCAUGAGGCUACCCCCUGAUACAAAACAGGAGUGGAGUUUAAAAGGUUUGUGACAGUUACCAGAACCCUGGGCCAGCUCCAUGAUUAGGUUUUCCCUGAGCUACUGGGGAGGAUGAUCAGGUGGUGAAUUGCCUUCCCCUCUGGGCCUGCUGCCAAAGAGAAAGAGAACGGGUCAGGUUGCGAGUAAUGAAGUCCAUGACAACACCCUGAAAGGGUCCCCAGCUGUUGGUAAUAACAGGGUGAGCCUUAAGCACUACCUCUAAAUAAAUACAGCUUUAUAAAGAACAAAUGGUUGGACGUCUUCUUCUUGACUAGCAACCAAACCAUGGAUACCUACAGUGAACUUUAACUUGCACAUCACUUUCAGGCCUUUCUGAAUGUACUUGCCUGCUUUUACGGCAGGUUACUCAGCUUAUCUGUUUAAAAGACAUUGUGCUGCUCAAUAAUUAGCUACUGUUUCAAACAUUCAGAUUAAAAUCCUGCCAUAGCUCUCCCUCAGCUUGGUAGGGCAAGGAGAAGCAGUGGCAGCUGGGUGGAAUGCCCAGAGCCCAUCUCACUUGUUCAAGGCAAGAUGGUUGAGGAUAACG